ACUCGAGUGGCGAACGGGUGAGUAACACGUGGGUGAUCUGCCCUGCACUUCGGGAUAAGCCUGGGAAACUGGGUCUAAUACCGGAUAGGAGCCAUUUUUAGUGUGAUGGUUGGAAAGUUUUUCGGUGUAGGAUGAGCUCGCGGCCUAUCAGCUUGUUGGUGGGGUAAUGGCCUACCAAGGCGGCGACGGGUAGCCGACCUGAGAGGGUGGACGGCCACAUUGGGACUGAGAUACGGCCCAG
RNAcentral lists this ribosomal RNA (241 nucleotides) under uncultured Actinomycetales bacterium. RNAcentral describes it as "partial 16S ribosomal RNA". It matches the Rfam family "Bacterial small subunit ribosomal RNA", at positions 89 to 334 of the family's 1533-position model. Lineage: Bacteria; Bacillati; Actinomycetota; Actinomycetes; Actinomycetales. The record is from RNAcentral.